RNAcentral lists this ribosomal RNA (254 nucleotides) under uncultured bacterium. RNAcentral describes it as "partial 16S ribosomal RNA". It matches the Rfam family "Bacterial small subunit ribosomal RNA", at positions 524 to 776 of the family's 1533-position model. The record is from RNAcentral.
UACGAAGGGGGCGAGCGUUGUUCGGAUUUACUGGGCGUAAAGGGCGCGUAGGCGGCCAGUGCAAGUCAGUUGUGAAAUCUCCGAGCUUAACUCGGAAAGGUCAACUGAUACUGCUCGGCUAGAGUGCGGAAGGGGCAACUGGAAUUCUUGGUGUAGCGGUGAAAUGCGUAGAUAUCAGGAAGAACACCAAUGGCGAAAGCAGCUUUCUGGGACGGUACUGACGCUGAGACGCGAAAGCGUGGGGAGCGAACAGG